RNAcentral lists this long non-coding RNA (300 nucleotides) under Carica papaya (papaya). RNAcentral's name for it is "long non-coding RNA (CPAP_LNC004697)". Lineage: Eukaryota; Viridiplantae; Streptophyta; Magnoliopsida; Brassicales; Caricaceae. The record is from RNAcentral.
GAAUGGCCACGGGAAGAACCCUGCCCAUGUGGGCACUGUGUGCCACUCGAGUGUGCUCGUGCGCGACUAGCACAGGACAUGCACUUGUGCGCACGUCCCAUCAUCACGGGGUGCGAGGCAUAGUCUGCGCGCGAAUCUUAUAGCGUGAAGACAGGCGCGGCUUCCCACGCCCUGUGCACAUGAUAGGCCUGCGCGUAUUAGGGCUGUGCGUGGUAGACCUGGAAGUAUUAGGGUUGCGCGCAAUAAGCUUACAUGUAGGGGCUUUGCAUGCAAUAGGCCUGCGCAUGCAGCAAGCUGGGG